This is a non-coding RNA of Oryzias latipes (Japanese medaka), 641 nucleotides long. The record is from RefSeq and is a predicted model, not a curated record. Lineage: Eukaryota; Metazoa; Chordata; Actinopteri; Beloniformes; Adrianichthyidae.
UGGGAGGUCACCACACGUUCAAGUAUUUUGCUGCAGAAACAUGUUCUGGCAGGCUGUAGCUAGCACUGGGCUGACGCUAGCUAUGGAAGCGGGUAGAUUAACGAGCCCAUAUAAAAUCCCAACAGUCUGUGGAGAAGUUGUCUAGAUGAAAAGCAGUGAGACAACAGAAUAAAUCCCCAGCAUAGGAGGCAUAGCAGCAGUAAACUCCAAGAGGGUCCGUGGAGAGAUGGCUAAGGAAGCUGCACCGGCGAAGCCGCUAGACUUCACUCACUGAAGUUAGACGCUGGCUAACCGGCCAUGCACAAAGAGAGUGUCCCGAUCCAGGCAGAAACAGCAGGAGGAUGCCAAAAGAGCAAGAGGACAUCUUCCGAAUGUCUGAAUUGCACUGAUGUGUAAAGUGGCAUCAAGUUACACAUUCUUCAAGUGGAAAACUGAAAAAAAGAAAAAAAAAAAGGCAGAGGUCACGGUAAGUCAAGAAAACAUCUCUUUUCCUGAGUCAAACACAGCCAUAGUGUAACUUUACUCCGCGGCUGAAACUGAAGUCUCCAUUUUUAACACAUGCGUUACGAAUCUGACUCACAGGCCCCAUAAAAACAGAGCAAUGUGUCGGCUGAUGCACAUGGGUGGGAGAAAAAAAAAAA